CUUCACUGGAAAGAGGAAGUGGGAGUCCAAAUUCCAUGUCUACAGUCCGGAUGACAUUGCGAACUGCUCACCCAAACUGAGCAAGUACCGGCAGCUGUGGAAUAGGGUGGCCCAUGACCAGUCAGCUCAGGGGAUGAGCAAAAGGGACAUGCAGGACGUGGUCAACAAGAAAUGGAGUCAGGAGAGCACCUUAGACUCAGCAGACAUGCCCACACCACUGUUAGAUCAACUCCACGGUCUAAAGGUAGCUCUCCUCCCAGGCACAAAACUGCGGGUUGAAAUUCAACUCCAAAGGUACAAGACGGAAGGUUCCCCGGUGUUAGAUAAAGUUGUAGAGGUUAUCAGAAAAUGUGUAAAAAAAAGAGUCAUCAAGCCGAGCCAGAUCAAAUGCCUUAUCGUACAGAAGCUUGUGGAAUGAGUGUUAGAGCAGCACAACAGUAAUCACAGUGUUUUCUUAUUCUCAUUUGUUUUUUGUUUUUUUAUGUUAUGAUUGAUCAAGGUCAUGGAGGCCAUACGUUUGAACCUGGUGAAUUGCUUGUUAGAUACUAGUAUGUCUUUUGAUACUAUCUGUGACUGUUUGAGUCCAUAUUUUUAUCUAUACAUACUGUACAAAGGUCUUGUAAGUAAUGUCUAAAUAAAGGUUGUUAGUAGUUAGUAAGGCAAUGCUUUUUCUAUCAUUUACUUAAAUGUAAUGGUAGGUUUUUCCACACUAGUUCUGUUGCAGAAGAAAUGUUUUUGUUUCAAAAAAUCUGUUUUGACACUUGUAUCAUCUAGCUUUCAUACCCAAAUUCCUUCUUUUUCAAACAUUGAUUACUUCGCCCCAUUCUCUGUCAUCCACAUACAUGACACUUUUUUAAGAUUAAGGACUUUUAUGAUUAAGAACUGGUUAAUUACAGUGUACGCCUUGUAAAUAAUGUCUAAAAAUAAAGUUGCUGUCAUGCUUAAACUUA
Branchiostoma floridae (Florida lancelet) is the source of this 950-nucleotide long non-coding RNA. RefSeq lists it as uncharacterized. The record is from RefSeq and is a predicted model, not a curated record. Lineage: Eukaryota; Metazoa; Chordata; Leptocardii; Amphioxiformes; Branchiostomatidae. The transcript has 2 exons.